GCCCCCUUAGCGCAGAGGAUAGCGCAACUGCCUUCUAAGCAGUGGGUCGCAGGUUCGAAUCCUGCAGGGGGCGC
Molecule: transfer RNA, 74 nt
Filed under: Chloroflexota bacterium
Lineage: Bacteria; Bacillati; Chloroflexota
Description: tRNA-Arg
Rfam family: tRNA
About the family: Transfer RNA (tRNA) molecules are approximately 80 nucleotides in length. Their secondary structure includes four short double-helical elements and three loops (D, anti-codon, and T loops).
Source: RNAcentral